CCUACUGGUGGCUGCAGUGAGGAAUAUUGGUCAAUGGGCGGAAGCCUGAACCAGCCAAGUAGCGUGCAGGAUGACGGCCCUACGGGUUGUAAACUGCUUUUAUACGGGAAUAACGCGCCUUACGUGUAGGGUUUUGCAUGUACCGUAUGAAUCAGGACCGGCUAAUUCCGUUCCAGCAUCCGCGGUAAUACGGAAGGUCCUGGCGUUAUCCGGAUUUAUUGGGUUUAAAGGGAGCGUAGGUCGGUUGUCAAGCCUGCUGUGAAAUGUCCGGGUUCAACCCGGGCAUUGCAGUGGAAACUGGCAGGCUUGAGUCCGGGGAAGGCAGGCGGAAUGCGUGGUGUAGCGGUGAAAUGCUUAGAUAUGACGAAGAACACCGAUUGCGAAGGCAGCUUGCUGCAGCGGAACUGACGCUGAUGCUCGAAAGCGCGGGUAUCGAACAGGAUUAGAUACCCCAGUAGUC
This 460-nucleotide ribosomal RNA is filed under the name uncultured bacterium. RNAcentral's name for it is "partial 16S ribosomal RNA". It matches the Rfam family "Bacterial small subunit ribosomal RNA", at positions 338 to 795 of the family's 1533-position model. The record is from RNAcentral.